GGGUGCUUAUCUCAGCUGGGAUUGCUUCGCCAUUACAAGGCGAGGGUCGGGGGUUCGAACCCCUCAGCACCCACCA
This 76-nucleotide transfer RNA is filed under the name Francisella tularensis subsp. holarctica. Its description in RNAcentral is "tRNA-Val". It matches the Rfam family "tRNA". Rfam says of the family: Transfer RNA (tRNA) molecules are approximately 80 nucleotides in length. The record is from RNAcentral. Lineage: Bacteria; Pseudomonadati; Pseudomonadota; Gammaproteobacteria; Thiotrichales; Francisellaceae.